UACAGAGGGUGCGAGCGUUAAUCGGAUUUACUGGGCGUAAAGUGUGCGUAGGCGGCUAAUUGAGUCGGAUGUGAAAUCCCCGAGCUUAACUUGGGAAUUGCAUUCGAUACUGGUUAGCUAGAGUGUGGGAGAGGAUGGUAGAAUUCCAGGUGUAGCGGUGAAAUGCGUAGAGAUCUGGAGGAAUACCGAUGGCGAAGGCAGCCAUCUGGCCUAACACUGACGCUGAGGUACGAAAGCAUGGGGANCAAACAGG
RNAcentral lists this ribosomal RNA (253 nucleotides) under uncultured microorganism. RNAcentral's name for it is "partial small subunit ribosomal RNA". It matches the Rfam family "Bacterial small subunit ribosomal RNA", at positions 524 to 776 of the family's 1533-position model. The record is from RNAcentral.